AAUAACAUAACGACUCUCGGCAACGGAUAUCUCGGCUCUCGCAUCGAUGAAGAACGUAGCAAAAUGCGAUACUUGGUGUGAAUUGCAGAAUCCCGUGAAUCAUCGAGUCUUUGAACGCAAGUUGCGCCUGAAGCCUUUAGGCCAAGGGCACGUCUGC
This 157-nucleotide ribosomal RNA is filed under the name Graptopetalum bellum. RNAcentral's name for it is "5.8S ribosomal RNA". It matches the Rfam family "5.8S ribosomal RNA". From Rfam's summary of the family: 5.8S ribosomal RNA (5.8S rRNA) is a component of the large subunit of the eukaryotic ribosome. The record is from RNAcentral. Lineage: Eukaryota; Viridiplantae; Streptophyta; Magnoliopsida; Saxifragales; Crassulaceae.